This is a non-coding RNA of Paramuricea clavata, 268 nucleotides long. The record is from the annotation of a GenBank genome assembly. Lineage: Eukaryota; Metazoa; Cnidaria; Anthozoa; Malacalcyonacea; Plexauridae.
CUGGGGAAAUAUUUAUUACUUUGAGACUGAUUUCAGAUCGUAAUUAGUAGCAAUCAGCAAGUCAGACUAUUUUAAAGGCAUGUUUUACUUUUACGGAAUAAUUUUUCUUGCAACUGAAUUUCACAACCCCCGGUAAUUUUUUUCCUCGAAUUUUUUUUGGUGUUCCGUAUUCCGGAAUGAUGCUGUUCCGGUGUUCCGUGUUCCUGAUUUUACUAAUAGCCCGGCCACUUUGCCCAUUUGAUUUCGUCUGUUUCGAGGCCCUACAGUG